UACGAAGGGGGCUAGCGUUGCUCGGAAUCACUGGGCGUAAAGCGCACGUAGGCGGACUCUUAAGUCGGUGGUGAAAUCCUGGAGCUCAACUCCAGAACUGCCUUCGAUACUGAGAGUCUCGAGUCCGAGAGAGGUGAGUGGAACUGCGAGUGUAGAGGUGAAAUUCGUAGAUAUUCGCAAGAACACCAGUGGCGAAGGCGGCUCACUAGCUCGGUACUGACGCUGAGGUGCGAAAGCGUGGGGAGCAAACAGG
This 253-nucleotide ribosomal RNA is filed under the name uncultured bacterium. Its description in RNAcentral is "partial 16S ribosomal RNA". It matches the Rfam family "Bacterial small subunit ribosomal RNA", at positions 524 to 776 of the family's 1533-position model. The record is from RNAcentral.